Molecule: long non-coding RNA, 1798 nt
Organism: Canis lupus familiaris (dog)
Lineage: Eukaryota; Metazoa; Chordata; Mammalia; Carnivora; Canidae
Exons: 7
Source: RefSeq, a predicted model, not a curated record
CCUGGAUCCAGAAUCUGUUCACUAGUGGCUUAAAAGACUAAAUAUGGAAGGUGACAUCAUUUCCUAAAAGUGGGUCCCCUAUGAAGCAUGAGUAAGACUGUGGAUGGAUUCUGAGAAGCUGUCAAGGCCCAGAGUAUGGCUUCUCCUUCACUGCCACUCAGCUGGCUUGAGAGAAAGGGAGACUAAGAUUGAGCUGGUAAUGAGUGAUACCCAUGAGAAGAUCCAUGGACAGAACAAGAAGCACCCCCACAGAGCAGCAAAUGUAAACUACAUAACCAGCAAAGAUAAGUGUGCCCUCAGUUUCCAAGAGGUAAACCUCCUGAUUUUGCAAAGUAUUUAAAUUGGCUCACAAGGGAUACACUCAACACUAUAAAAAAUAAACGUAUGUAAAAAUCCAGGAGCAGAGAAAUCCAGUCUCUUUCAGAUCUAAUAAUCUCCAAAACUAUGGACUUACAGCACAUAAGAAACUGCAUAGAUAUAAACUGCAGCAAAGCCCUGCAUUGGAUACUCAGAAUAUUUUCAUUUCAUCUAUCAGAAACCCUUGUGUCAAGAUAAUUUAUUUGACUCGACUUUCAGGAAUUCAGCAUCAUAGCUAUAUUCAUGUGAAUAAAUCCAGAGUUCUUUCAGAUUCUAACCAGCCAAGUAUGGGAAAACAGAAAAUGGUGAUAUUUAACAUUUCAAAUUUAUCAUACAGGAAGCCUAUCAUGUGCAUCUGAAGGGAGAGUUUUCAGAUGGAAAUUGUUGAUAGGUAAUUCCUUCAAAUCAAUCAUACUUGAGAAAGAAACAGAACCUGGAUUCUCAACGUACUAUUUUAAACCAGCCAAUUUAUAUCAGCAUCUCCCAGGUAAAGGACACCAUUCAAUAUCGGAAUUAGAAGCAUUCUAUUCAUUUUCCCCCUGCAGCCAGGGAAAGAGAAAGAGGAGUGCAGAGGCAGAGACUCAAACAACUCUAGAUGCAGCAAUUCUCUAGCCGCUGAGCAAUGAGGUUUCAGACGCUGCUGGAGGACCCAUUCAUCUUAAUCCAUCUGGAAAGAGGGCUACGCGCAAUAUUUCACAAUCUAAGUACUUUCUGACAAAUCUAUUAAUUAUGCACUCAAACAAAUUAUUUGCUGCCUGUGGAGAAUUGCUACUGGAUUUUCUCUUGUGCCAGAUCCACGUUCUCUUUUCUGCUUUUAACUCAUUGCUGUCAUUGGCACAGUCAUCUCGCUCCCCUGUUUUAAGCAUCUAACAUUUUAAAUUAGAACGUGGUCAUUACUACAGAGAAGCCACAGGAGGUUAAGGGAACAUGACAGUGAAGAGCUGAAUGAUAUUUUCUUUCUGCCUCCUCCCUGACACCUUUUGUCUUCCAUUCUAUUCUGUAGCAAAGCAUAUGGAAGACAUCUCUUCUACAUGCUAGAACAAUAGAUGAGACCAUUAGUUUGUGGCUUACUCAUGCUUCUCAUCCACAACUUUGACUUUGGUUCCUCAGUUCUAAAGACAAGUCCUCCUCCACAACUUAUAAAAUUAACAACUCUAUAAAACAUGCAUGGUGUGUGGAAGGAAAAAAAAUACAUAGUUACAACUUAUUCUCUACUAAUUUGAUCAUUACAUUUUAGUUCUAGCACACUAUUUAAAGAUCUCAGAUUUUUUUAAAAAGUAAUUUCCUAGCCUUAGAGAUACUACAUACAAUUCUAGAAAGCUACUGAAGACAAAAGAUAAAAAUGAAAGUCAUGCGUAAUACCAGCUGUUAAAAAUAUGUGUAUGUCUUUCUAGUCCUUUUAUAUAUGUACAGAAUAUAUAUGCUUAUAUUGAAAAACAUG